UGUGUAGUUUGUUCAUUAAAA
Molecule: non-coding RNA, 21 nt
Organism: Caenorhabditis elegans
Lineage: Eukaryota; Metazoa; Nematoda; Chromadorea; Rhabditida; Rhabditidae
Source: Ensembl